CAAUAGCUACUUGCAUCGUUGUAAAGAUGAUGCAAGAUUGACUAUGUCGAAUAAAAUUCUAGGUAGAAUUAUGAUAAUGACAUUGUCUGCCUAUGUGUCUUGACCAAAUUACGUGCCAGCAGUCGCGGUAAUACGUAGAAGACUAGUGUUAUUCAUGUUUAAUCGGUUUAAAGGGUACCUAGACGGUAAAUCAAGCUUUCAAAGAAAUAGAGUUAAAGGACUAAUUUACUAGAGUUACUUAUGAGGGGGUAUUAAAGUACUGCUGGUGUAGAGAUGAAAUUCUGUCAUACCUCUUUUCAAAAGAAAAAUGAUGGCACAGGUAUAGGCGAAGGCAUCCCCUUAUGUGAUAACUGACGUUGAGGGACGAAGGCUUUGUGUAGCGAACAGGAUUAGAUACCCCAGUAGUCGAAGCAGAAAAUGAUGAAUGUCAUAGAUUAGAGGUAAGUUUAUUCUAUAAAUGAAAGUGUAAGCAUUCCACCUCAUGAGUAAUUUGGCAACAUUGGAACUGAAAUCAUUAGACCGUUUCUGAAACCAGUAGUGAAGUAUGUUGUUUAAUUUGAUGAUCCGCAAAAAACCUUACCACAAUUUGAAUAUUUAUAUUUUUUUUUUAUUGUUUUCUUAUUAAUUUUCUUCUAACAACAAGAUGUAGAAAACUAUGAAAAAAAAAGAAGAAAGUUAAUAAAGAGGCAAUAAG
This 694-nucleotide ribosomal RNA is filed under the name Melanohalea septentrionalis. Its description in RNAcentral is "partial small subunit ribosomal RNA". It matches the Rfam family "Bacterial small subunit ribosomal RNA", at positions 376 to 1047 of the family's 1533-position model. The record is from RNAcentral. Lineage: Eukaryota; Fungi; Ascomycota; Lecanoromycetes; Lecanorales; Parmeliaceae.